UACGUAGGGGGCAAGCGUUGUUCGGAAUUACUGGGCGUAAAGGGCGCGUAGGCGGCACGGCAAGUCAGGAGUGAAAGGCCUGGGCUCAACCGAGGAACUGCUUUUGAGACUGCCGAGCUAGAGUGCAGAAGGGGCAACUGGAAUUCCCAGUGUAGCGGUGAAAUGCGUAGAUAUCGGGAGGAACACCAGUGGCGAAGGCGGCGACCUGGGCCAAUAUUGACGCUGAGGUGCGAAAGCGUGGGGAGCAAACAGG
This 253-nucleotide ribosomal RNA is filed under the name uncultured bacterium. Its description in RNAcentral is "partial 16S ribosomal RNA". It matches the Rfam family "Bacterial small subunit ribosomal RNA", at positions 524 to 776 of the family's 1533-position model. The record is from RNAcentral.